Molecule: long non-coding RNA, 1007 nt
Organism: Rhododendron vialii
Lineage: Eukaryota; Viridiplantae; Streptophyta; Magnoliopsida; Ericales; Ericaceae
Exons: 3
Source: RefSeq, a predicted model, not a curated record
GACUAAUUGUUCCACUAAAGAAAUUACUGUACUGAAUCGAUGAACUGGGGACUUCGAUCUUCUUCUACCCAUUCUAGCACGAACACAAUUAGUGUUCGGAGAAAUGCCCAACUGAAUGGUAAUGGCAAAAUGGGCAACAGUGAGGCAGUGAAUAUGUUGCAAAUCACUUUAAACAGUAUCUCAAACAGCGAAGAGUGUUAAAGCACUUGGAUUGGAUGCUAGUCCCAUUUCUGAAACCCACUUCGAAAACUUUCACACCGUACAGCCUCUCCAAGAAAGUGACAUUAGGGUCAUGAUUCGUGAUGAGAGAGAUAUCAACAUCCCAAAUUUGAGAGGUCAUUGCGCAUAUGCUCGGAGUUGGUAUGUAAAAGUUGAUCCAAGGACGUGUAUGAGGAUGUUUGGAGAAGAUCAGUAGAUCACGUUAGUUGUUUUUGUGGAUUGACUUUUUCAGGGGAGACUAUUUGUGUUUUCUUUUUCUAUUUUGUUUCUUUUUGUGAAUAUGACAAAAUUUCCCGUGUUUUCUUUAUAUAUCCUCAAGCACACAAUUUGUCUCUGUUUUCUGCAUCUACGUAUUUUUUUCUAGCAUUCCAUAUUUGUAUUUGGGUGUUUGAUGCAGAUGAUGUAUUUGUGUCGGAAGCACCAACAACACUCGAUUAUAUUCAGGACAGCUCGUUGCCUCUCCUCAGUCAAUCUCAGGUACUACAAAUGAAACAUAGCAGCCAAAUCAUGGCGCCAUUCUAUUGAUAUCUUUGUUUAAAAAAGAAGGUUAGGCUGCUGUAGUAAAAGCCCUAAAGAAGUGUAUGUUGGUGAUAACACAUGUGGCUUCUGAUAAAGGGGAGUGUACACAGUUUAGAUCGAGUUAAUGAAAUUCUUGCAUUGUGGUAUCAAGGUUUUUUGUACUCAAUAGCUCAGUUGUUUUGGAAAUGUGGGCAUUUCGUUUUAAAAAGCAAAAAUUUAGUUGCUUUGCAUUCUAUAGCCUGGUGAAUAUAUGUUCUUGUACAACUCUU